CCUACGGGCGGCAGCAGUGAGGAAUAUUGGUCAAUGGACGAGAGUCUGAACCAGCCAAGUAGCGUGAAGGAGGACUGCCCGAUGGGUGGUAAACUUCGGUGAUAGGGGAAUAAAACGUGCCACGUGUGGGAUUUUGUAUGUACCAUAUGAAUAAGGAGCGGCUAACUCCGUGCCAGCAGCCGAGGUAAUACGGAGGAGCCGAGCGUUAUCCGGAUUUAUGGGGUUUCAAGGGAGCGUAGGGGGAUUGUUAAGUCAGUUGUGAAAGUUUGCGGCUCAACCGUAAAAUUGCAGUUGAAACUGGCAGUCUUGAGUACAGUAGAGGUGGGCGUAAUUCGUGGUGUAGCGGU
Molecule: ribosomal RNA, 347 nt
Filed under: uncultured bacterium
Lineage: Bacteria
Description: partial 16S ribosomal RNA
Rfam family: Bacterial small subunit ribosomal RNA
Source: RNAcentral